Molecule: long non-coding RNA, 211 nt
Filed under: Elaeis guineensis (African oil palm)
Lineage: Eukaryota; Viridiplantae; Streptophyta; Magnoliopsida; Arecales; Arecaceae
Description: long non-coding RNA (EGUI_LNC054874)
Source: RNAcentral
GAAAAGGGGCACCCGAAUGGCAAGAAGGGGAACAAAGUUCUGGGACUAACCUAAGUCGCUCCGAAGGAUGCAGAAGGUGCGAGGACAGGGAUGACUCGAAGGACGCCUAGGGCCAAGGUAGACGCCAAGGAGGGUCAGGGCUCUCGAAGAAAAGGCGGAUACCGAUAGAACUUUCAGGCGGAAUAGGGACCCUAAAGGCAGAAGGAUGGGU